This 253-nucleotide ribosomal RNA is filed under the name uncultured bacterium. RNAcentral's name for it is "partial 16S ribosomal RNA". It matches the Rfam family "Bacterial small subunit ribosomal RNA", at positions 524 to 776 of the family's 1533-position model. The record is from RNAcentral.
UACAGAGGGUGCGAGCGUUGUCCGGAAUCACUGGGCGUAAAGGGCGCGUAGGCGGCUUGAUAAGCGUGCGGUGAAAGCCCGGGGCUCAACCCCGGGUCGGCCGUGCGAACUGUCGAGCUGGAGCACUGUAGAGGCGGGUGGAAUUCCGGGUGUAGCGGUGGAAUGCGUAGAGAUCCGGAAGAACACCAGUGGCGAAGGCGGCCCGCUGGGCAGUGGCUGACGCUGAGGCGCGACAGCGUGGGGAGCAAACAGG